This 1798-nucleotide long non-coding RNA is filed under the name Equus caballus (horse). RNAcentral's name for it is "lncRNA (ENSECAG00000052578.1)". The record is from RNAcentral. Lineage: Eukaryota; Metazoa; Chordata; Mammalia; Perissodactyla; Equidae.
CUCUGAGUUAUUUCUUUCAGAUCCUAGGCAAUAUUAUGUUCCCAAUAAUUUUCAAAUAAAUCAAAGUGAUCCAUCUCGGUAAAGUUUAUUCCAACUUAAUGAUUGAGAAAUUUGUCUCAGAACAAGUUUUCUCACAGUAUAGCUGACUCGUUAAUCAAAGAGGCUCUUUAAAAAAGAGUCCAGGGGCCGGCCUGGUGGCACAGCAGUUGAGUUCACACAUUCUAUUUUGGCAGACCGGGGUUCGCCGGUUCAGAUCCCAGGUGAGGACAUGGCACCGCUUGGCAAAAGCCAUGCUGUGGUAGGCGUCCCACCUAUAAACCAGAGGAAGAUGGGCACGGAUGUUACCUCAGGGCCAGCCAGUCUCCCUCAGCAAAAAGAGGAGGAUUGCCAGUAGUUAGCUCAGGGCUAACCUUCCUAAAAAAAAAAAAAGAGUCCAAAGGAAUACUCUUUAGUUUAAGACAUCGACAGCUAUUCUAGUAAAAAUCCAUGCCAGUGAACGGAUGCUUAAGACAUAGAAAAACUGUGAUGAUUGUGACUGGCUUUGCGAAUUACCACAUCAGUAUAUGCUGUGAUCUAUAAUAGAAACAGAUACACACACACACACACACACACACUUUGAAUUCUGUUUUCUUGUUUGCCCACAGAACUGUCAUUUGAUUUUUCUUUUUUAAAGGAAGACUAUGUCAUUCUUAUUUUUCUUUUUAAUUUUAACCUAUUAUUGCUCUGUUUGAAACAAGAUUGGCCUAUGAUGUGUGAAAUUAAAUUGCAACAAUAAUCAGAAAUCCAUACAUUUUCAUAUUUGGAAACCUUAAUUCAAACACAUAGGUCCCUGGAAAAGGCUGCGAUGUUCGUGUUGUCAACAAGAUAGCUAUGCAUUUAGGGAGACAAAUAGAUCAAUAGGUGAGAUUUAUCACUGAAGUUAUUCUCAGUGCUGUUUAGAUUAAGGUCAACAAAUAUUAUAUUCAAAAGAACAAAAUAGAUUUUAGCGUGAGAAAUAGUGGCAAAUGUAAUUAAACCCCCCUUUUGUUUGUGUUUAAAUGUGCAGAAGAUGUUAAUCAACUUUGCUGAGCUAUAAUUUAUAUACAAUCAAAUAUACCCAUCUCAGUUUGAAGAGUUUUGUCCAAUGUAGACUCCUGGAAAUCCUGACCAUAAUCAAGAAAUAUGCCUCUUCCAUCACUCUAAAGUUCUCCUUGUGCCGCUUCCCUGUCAGUCCCCCACACUCAGCCCCAGACGUCCUUGAACUGCUUUCUGUGACUAUAAAUUAGACUUGCUUUCUCUAGGCUUCGUAUCACUGACUCAUACAGUACAUUCUCUUUCGUAUCUGACUUCUUUCACUCAGCACAGAGACUGUGCGGUUCGUCAAUGCUGUGUGUAGUCAGUCCUUUUUGCUGCUGACUGGUAUUCUGUUGUGUGAAUAUACCGGAUUUUCUUUAUCCAUUUACCUUUUGAUAGACUUUUGAGUUCUUUCCAGUUUUUGGCCAUUAUCAAUAAGGCUGCUAUGAAUAUUUGUGUAGAAAUCUUCUGUGAAGUGUCUGUUUCAAUCUUUUGCCCAUUUUUAAAUUGGUUUGUUCUUCUAUUAUUGAAUUCUAAGCAUUCUUUACAUAUUCUAGAUACAAGUCCUCUCUCAGAUGUCUGUGUUGUGAAUAUUUUCUCCUGGUCAGUGGCUCGCCUUUUUCAUUUUCUUAGUGGUAUGCUGUUUCAGUUGCAUUCAGCACUUGAAAAUAAUUUUUGUCACGUUUUGUAGCAACAUUUCAUGUAGCUUUAACAUAUGACUUGAUAUUCAUCAUUGAUAUCUUUU